RNAcentral lists this ribosomal RNA (253 nucleotides) under uncultured bacterium. Its description in RNAcentral is "partial 16S ribosomal RNA". It matches the Rfam family "Bacterial small subunit ribosomal RNA", at positions 524 to 776 of the family's 1533-position model. The record is from RNAcentral.
UACAGAGGGUGCGAGCGUUAAUCGGAAUUACUGGGCUUGAAGCGCACGUAGGCGGCGUUGUAAGUGUCGGGUGAAAUCCCACGGCUCACCCGUGGAACUGCCCGGCAUACUGCGAUGCUAGAGUGUGGUAGGGGAGAGCGGAACUCCUGGUGGAGCGGUGAAAUGCGUAGAUAUCAGGAGGAACACCGGUGGCGAAGGCGGCUCUCUGGUCCACAACUGACGCUGAGGUGCGAAAGCUAGGGGAGCAAACGGG